AACGAACGCUGGCGGCAGGCCUAACACAUGCAAGUCGAGCGCGCCCUUCGGGGUGAGCGGCGGGCGGGUGAGUAACGCGUGGGAAAGUGCCCUUUUCUACGGCAUCGCCUCGGGAAACAGCGAGCAAUACCGUAUACGCUCCUUGGGGGAAAGAUAUAUCGGAAAAGGAUCGGCUCGCGUUGGAUUAGGCUGUUGGUGGGGUCAUGGCCUACCAAGCCGGCGAUUCAUAGCUGGGUUGAGAGGAUGAGCAGACACACUGGGACUGAGACACGGUCCAGACUCCUACGGGAGGCAGCAGUGGGGAAUCUUAGAAAAUGGGGGCAACCAUGAACUAGCCAGGCCGCGUGAGUGAUGAAGGCCUGAGGGUUGUAAAGCUCUUUCAGCUGGGAAGAUAAUGACGGUACCAUCAGAAGAAGCCCCGGCUAACUCCGUG
This 433-nucleotide ribosomal RNA is filed under the name uncultured bacterium. RNAcentral describes it as "partial 16S ribosomal RNA". It matches the Rfam family "Bacterial small subunit ribosomal RNA", at positions 29 to 507 of the family's 1533-position model. The record is from RNAcentral.